CCUACGGGGGGCUGCAGUGGGGAAUAUUGCACAAUGGGCGCAAGCCUGAUGCAGCAACGCCGCGUGAGGGAUGACGGCCUUCGGGUUGUAAACCUCUUUUAGCAGGGAAGAAGCGAAAGUGACGGUACCUGCAGAAAAAGCGCCGGCUAACUACGUGCCAGCAGCCGCGGUAAUACGUAGGGCGCAAGCGUUAUCCGGAAUUAUUGGGCGUAAAGAGCUCGUAGGCGGUUUGUCGCGUCUGCUGUGAAAUCCCGAGGCUCAACCUCGGAUCUGCAGUGGGUACGGGCAGACUAGAGUGCGGUAGGGGAGAUUGGAAUUCCUGGUGUAGCGGUGGAAUGCGCAGAUAUCAGGAGGAACACCGAUGGCGAAGGCAGAUCUCUGGGCCGUAACUGACGCUGAGGAGCGAAAGCGUGGGGAGCAAACAGGCUUAGAUACCCCGGUAGUC
This 445-nucleotide ribosomal RNA is filed under the name uncultured Microbacterium sp. Its description in RNAcentral is "bacterial SSU rRNA". It matches the Rfam family "Bacterial small subunit ribosomal RNA", at positions 338 to 795 of the family's 1533-position model. Lineage: Bacteria; Bacillati; Actinomycetota; Actinomycetes; Micrococcales; Microbacteriaceae. The record is from RNAcentral.